GGCUUAACACAUGCAAGUCGAGCGGAAACGAUGAUAGCUUGCUAUCAGGCGUCGAGCGGCGGACGGGUGAGUAAUACUUAGGAAUCUACCUAGUAGUGGGGGAUAGCUCGGGGAAACUCGAAUUAAUACCGCAUACGUCCUACGGGAGAAAGCAGGGGAUCUUUGGACCUUGCGCUAUUAGAUGAGCCUAAGUCGGAUUAGCUAGAUGGUGGGGUAAAGGCCUACCAUGGCGACGAUCUGUAGCUGGUCUGAGAGGAUGAUCAGCCACACCGGGACUGAGACACGGCCCGGACUCCUACGGGAGGCAGCAGUGGGGAAUAUUGGACAAUGGGGGGAACCCUGAUCCAGCCAUGCCGCGUGUGUGAAGAAGGCCUUUUGGUUGUAAAGCACUUUAAGCAGUGAAGAAGACUCUUCGGUUAAUACCCGGGGACGAUGACAUUAGCUGCAGAAUAAGCACCGGCUAACUCUGUGCCAGCAGCCGCGGUAAUACAGAGGGUGCAAGCGUUAAUCGGAAUUACUGGGCGUAAAGCGAGCGUAGGUGGCUUGAUAAGUCAGAUGUGAAAUCCCCGGGCUUAACCUGGGAACUGCAUCUGAAACUGUUAGGCUAGAGUAGGUGAGAGGGAAGUAGAAUUUCAGGUGUAGCGGUGAAAUGCGUAGAGAUCUGAAGGAAUACCGAUGGCGAAGGCAGCUUCCUGGCAUCAUACUGACACUGAGGCUCGAAAGCGUGGGUAGCAAACAGGAUUAGAUACCCUGGUAGUCCACGCCGUAAACGAUGUCUACUAGUCGUUGGGUCCCUUGAGGACUUAGUGACGCAGCUAACGCAAUAAGUAGACCGCCUGGGGAGUACGGCCGCAAGGUUAAAACUCA
This 867-nucleotide ribosomal RNA is filed under the name Psychrobacter sp. K8-4L-016. Its description in RNAcentral is "bacterial SSU rRNA". It matches the Rfam family "Bacterial small subunit ribosomal RNA", at positions 45 to 903 of the family's 1533-position model. The record is from RNAcentral. Lineage: Bacteria; Pseudomonadati; Pseudomonadota; Gammaproteobacteria; Moraxellales; Moraxellaceae.